GAACGGGUGAGUAACACGUGAGCAACCUGCCCUGGACUCUGGGAUAAGCGCUGGAAACGGCGUCUAAUACUGGAUAUGAGCCCCUUCCGCAUGGUGGGGGUUGGAAAGAUUUUUUUGGUCUGGGAUGGGCUCGCGGCCUAUCAGCUUGUUGGUGAGGUAAUGGCUCACCAAGGCGUCGACGGGUAGCCGGCCUGAGAGGGUGACCGGCCACACUGGGACUGAGACACGGCCCAGACUCCUACGGGAGGCAGCAGUGGGGAAUAUUGCACAAUGGGCGGAAGCCUGAUGCAGCAACGCCGCGUGAGGGAUGACGGCCUUCGGGUUGUAAACCUCUUUUAGCAGGGAAGAAGCGAGAGUGACGGUACCUGCAGAAAAAGCGCCGGCUAACUACGUGCCAGCAGCCGCGGUAAUACGUAGGGCGCAAGCGUUAUCCGGAAUUAUUGGGCGUAAAGAGCUCGUAGGCGGUUUGUCGCGUCUGCUGUGAAAUCCCGAGGCUCAACCUCGGGCCUGCAGUGGGUACGGGCAGACUAGAGUGCGGUAGGGGAGAUUGGAAUUCCUGGUGUAGCGGUGGAAUGCGCAGAUAUCAGGAGGAACACCGAUGGCGAAGGCAGAUCUCUGGGCCGUAACUGACGCUGAGGAGCGAAAGGGUGGGGAGCAAACAGGCUUAGAUACCCUGGUAGUCCACCCCGUAAACGUUGGGAACUAGUUGUGGGGACCAUUCCACGGUUUCCGUGACGCAGCUAACGCAUUAAGUUCCCCGCCUGGGGAGUACGGCCGCAAGGCUAAAACUCAAAGGAAUUGACGGGGACCCGCACAAGCGGCGGAGCAUGCGGAUUAAUUCGAUGCAACGCGAAGAACCUUACCAAGGCUUGACAUAC
This 878-nucleotide ribosomal RNA is filed under the name Microbacterium hydrothermale. Its description in RNAcentral is "bacterial SSU rRNA". It matches the Rfam family "Bacterial small subunit ribosomal RNA", at positions 100 to 989 of the family's 1533-position model. Lineage: Bacteria; Bacillati; Actinomycetota; Actinomycetes; Micrococcales; Microbacteriaceae. The record is from RNAcentral.